GAUGAACGCUAGCGGGAGGCCUAACACAUGCAAGCCGAGCGGUAGAGUUUCUUCGGAAACUUGAGAGCGGCGCACGGGUGCGUAACACGUGUGCAACCUACCUUUAUCUGGGGGAUAGCCUUUCGAAAGGAAGAUUAAUACCCCAUAAUAUAAUGAUUGGCAUCAAUUAUUAUUGAAAACUCCGGUGGAUAGAGAUGGGCACGCGCAAGAUUAGAUAGUUGGUGAGGUAACGGCUCACCAAGUCAAUGAUCUUUAGGGGUCCUGAGAGGGAGAUCCCCCACACUGGUACUGAGACACGGACCAGACUCCUACGGGAGGCAGCAGUGAGGAAUAUUGGACAAUGGGUGAGAGCCUGAUCCAGCCAUCCCGCGUGAAGGAUGACGGUCCUAUGGAUUGUAAACUUCUUUUGUACAGGGAUAAACCUACCCUCGUGAGGGUAGCUGAAGGUACUGUACGAAUAAGCGCCGGCUAACUCCGUG
Molecule: ribosomal RNA, 479 nt
Filed under: uncultured bacterium
Lineage: Bacteria
Description: partial 16S ribosomal RNA
Rfam family: Bacterial small subunit ribosomal RNA
Source: RNAcentral